This is a long non-coding RNA of Phalaenopsis equestris, 459 nucleotides long. RefSeq lists it as uncharacterized. NCBI's taxonomy places the organism in Eukaryota, Viridiplantae, Streptophyta, Magnoliopsida, Asparagales, Orchidaceae. The record is from RefSeq and is a predicted model, not a curated record. The transcript is spliced from 3 exons.
GGCUGUGCCUGAGGAUAAAUGGUUUUGCCCAUCCUGUCGAUGCCAUAUUUGCAGUUCGAGUGAAUUUAAUCCUGAUACUGAAAAAUUCUCUGAUAAAACAAUGUUAUAUUGUGAUCAGUGUGAGCAUGAAUACCAUGUUGGAUGUAUGAGAAAAGGAGGAUGGAAAAAUUUACAGUCAUGUCCAACUGGAAAUUGGUUUUGUAGUGCCAGUUGUUCAAAGGUAUGCUGUUAGCCUUGCAAGGGUGAAACUUGGAGCAAUGGAUAUUUUCAUCAUUGGCCUUAUUGUCAUAGGGUUGAAACUGCGAAAAAAACUCAUUCUGUUACGGGGAUUUACUUGCCUUAAUGAAAUAUCUCUCAAACACCGCAAUAGUGGGAACGUAAUGCACUCUGUACCCCCUUCCAAAUAGGGAUAGCCUUGCCCAAAAUAAAAUAAACUAAAUACUUGAUCUUGUUUAAAUC